This 779-nucleotide ribosomal RNA is filed under the name uncultured Neocallimastigales. RNAcentral's name for it is "partial large subunit ribosomal RNA". It matches the Rfam family "Eukaryotic large subunit ribosomal RNA", at positions 23 to 644 of the family's 3401-position model. The record is from RNAcentral. Lineage: Eukaryota; Fungi; Neocallimastigomycota; Neocallimastigomycetes; Neocallimastigales.
AGAGAUGUGUGAUGACGCAUAUCAAUAAGCGGAGGAAAAGAAACUAACAAGGAUUCCCUUAGUAACGGCGAGUGAAGCGGGAAGAGCUCAAAUUUGAAAUCUUCAAGGUUCUACCUUGACGAAUUGUAGUUUAAAGAAGUGUUUUCUGUUAGAGAGGUGGUAAAAGUUCUUUGGAAUAGGACAUCAUAGAGGGUGAGAAUCCCGUAUUUGACCGUUACUUUCCUAGCUUUGUGAUACACUUUCAAAGAGUCGGAUUGUUUGGGAAUGCAGUCCAAAAUGGGUGGUAAAUUUCAUCUAAAGCUAAAUAUUGGCGAGAGACCGAUAGCGAACAAGUACCGUGAGGGAAAGAUGAAAAGAACUUUGAAAAGAGAGUUAAACAGUACGUGAAAUUGUCAAAAGGGAAGCGUUUGACACCAGUGUUGUUUUUCCGAAAAUCAAUUACUAAAUGUUUUGUUUUUGAGGAGUGAUGACUUCAUCGGCUUCCUUCUCUCUUUCACGAAACUUUCUUAAUGCACUUUUCGGUUAACAAGUCAACAUCAAUUUCUUUUGUUGUAAAAGAGUAUGAGGAAGGUGGCUUUCUUUUCGGAGAAAGUGUUUAUAGCCCUUAUACCUCUACAAUCGGAGAGAUUGAGGUCUGCAGCGUAGAUCCUUCGGGGUUAGAUACAUUUGUGCUAAGUUAUAGCUUUUCAUAGACAACUUGUUGACUAUGAUUAGUCUUGUAGCUUACUCGCUUAUGCUAUUUUACCUACGCUUAGGAUGUUGAUAGUCACAGCGUGUAC